Molecule: ribosomal RNA, 440 nt
Filed under: Plesiomonas shigelloides
Lineage: Bacteria; Pseudomonadati; Pseudomonadota; Gammaproteobacteria; Enterobacterales; Enterobacteriaceae
Description: bacterial SSU rRNA
Rfam family: Bacterial small subunit ribosomal RNA
Source: RNAcentral
CCUACGGGAGGCAGCAGUGGGGAAUAUUGGACAAUGGGCGAAAGCCUGAUCCAGCCAUGCCGCGUGAGUGAUGACGGCCCUAGGGUUGUAAAGCUCUUUCGCAGGUGAAGAUAAUGACGGUAACCUGAGAAGAAGCCCCGGCUAACUACGUGCCAGCAGCCGCGGUAAUACGUAGGGGGCAAGCGUUGUCCGGAAUCAUUGGGCGUAAAGCGCGUGUAGGCGGUCCGAUAAGUCGGCUGUGAAAGUCCAGGGCUCAACCCUGGGAUGCCGGUCGAUACUGUCGGACUAGAGUUCGGAAGAGGCGAGUGGAAUUCCCGGUGUAGCGGUGAAAUGCGCAGAUAUCGGGAGGAACACCAAUGGCGAAGGCAGCUCGCUGGGACGUUACUGACGCUGAGACGCGAAAGCGUGGGGAGCAAACAGGAUUAGAUACCCUGGUAGUC